Molecule: ribosomal RNA, 481 nt
Filed under: uncultured bacterium
Lineage: Bacteria
Description: bacterial SSU rRNA
Rfam family: Bacterial small subunit ribosomal RNA
Source: RNAcentral
AAUCAACGCUGGCGGCGUGCCUCAGACAUGCAAGUCGAACGAUUAAAGCUCUCUUCGGAGAGUGUAUAGAGUGGCGCACGGGUGAGUAACACGUAAGUAAUCUACCUUUGAGUGGGGAAUAACCCGGGGAAACCCGAGCUAAUACCGCAUAAUGCAGCGGCACCGCAAGGUGACAGUUGUUAAAGGAGCAAUCCGCUUAAAGAGGAGCUUGCGGCAGAUUAGCUAGNGGUAAGGUAAUGGCUUACCAAGGCUUCGAUCUGUAUCCGGCCUGAGAGGGCGGUCGGACACACUGACACUGAAUAACGGGUCAGACUCCUACGGGAGCAGCAGUCGGGAAUUUUGGGCAAUGGGCGAAAGCCUGACCCAGCAACGCCGCGUGAAGGAUGAAGUAUUUCGGUAUGUAAACUUCGAAAGAAUGGGAAGAAUCAAUGACGGUACCAUUUAUAAGGUCCGGCUAACUACGUGCCAGCCGCCGCCGUAA